RNAcentral lists this ribosomal RNA (396 nucleotides) under uncultured bacterium. RNAcentral describes it as "bacterial SSU rRNA". It matches the Rfam family "Bacterial small subunit ribosomal RNA", at positions 29 to 429 of the family's 1533-position model. The record is from RNAcentral.
AUUGAACGCUGGCGGCAUGCCUUACACAUGCAAGUCGAACGGCAGCACGGGGGCAACCCUGGUGGCGAGUGGCGAACGGGUGAGUAAUACAUCGGAACGUGCCCAGUAGUGGGGGAUAGCCCGGCGAAAGCCGGAUUAAUACCGCAUACGACCUACGGGUGAAAGCGGGGGAUCGCAAGACCUCGCGCUAUCGGAGCGGCCGAUGUCAGAUUAGGUUGUUGGUGGGGUAAAAGCCUACCAAGCCGACGAUCUGUAGCUGGUCUGAGAGGACGACCAGCCACACUGGGACUGAGACACGGCCCAGACUCCUACGGGAGGCAGCAGUGGGGAAUUUUGGACAAUGGGCGCAAGCCUGAUCCAGCCAUGCCGCGUGCGGGAAGAAGGCCUGGUGUAACG